GUAGGGAAUAUUGCACAAUGGGCGAAAGCCUGAUGCAGCAACGCCGCGUGCGCGAAGAAGGCCUUCGGGUCGUAAAGCGCUUUUCGGGGAGAUGAGGAAGGACAGUAUCCCCGGAAUAAGGCUCGGCUAACUACGUGCCAGCAGCCGCGGUAAAACGUAGGAGCCAAGCGUUAUCCGAAUUCACUGGGCGUAAAGCGCGUGCAGGCGGCUCGGUAAGUUGGAUGUGAAAUCUCCUGGCUCAACUGGGAGAGGCCGUUCAAUACUGUCGGGCUAGAGGGCGGCAGAGGGAGGUGGAAUUCCCGGUGUAGUGGUGAAAUGCGUAGAUAUCGGGAGGAACACCAGUGGCGAAGGCGGCCUUCUGGGCCGUACCUGACGCUCAGACGCGAAAGCUAGGGGAGCGAACGGGAUUAGAUACCCGAGUAGUCC
This 426-nucleotide ribosomal RNA is filed under the name uncultured bacterium. RNAcentral's name for it is "bacterial SSU rRNA". It matches the Rfam family "Bacterial small subunit ribosomal RNA", at positions 354 to 796 of the family's 1533-position model. The record is from RNAcentral.